Long non-coding RNA from Taeniopygia guttata (zebra finch), 10918 nucleotides. RefSeq lists it as uncharacterized. The record is from RefSeq and is a predicted model, not a curated record. NCBI's taxonomy places the organism in Eukaryota, Metazoa, Chordata, Aves, Passeriformes, Estrildidae.
UAAAGAAUUUAAGGUUCUGUAAGGUUAGUGUAAUUUAAGGUUCUAUCAGGUUCUGUAAUUUUUGGUUACUGCCACAACUGAAUAAGCAUUUUUGGUGCUGAGUGUACCGUUUUCAACACCUUCAGGUAAACAUCUUCUGCCUGCUCCGAUGUUAUUGUAGAUAUUUCUCUGGAGCAUGUUCCUCAGCCUGUCUGAGUGCCAGAGAAGCCAUCUCCAUCUGCUGAACACUCCUCAGGUGAACUACUGACCUCCACCCAUCCAACACCUGCAACACCCGUGAGCUGCUCAGCCGUGGCCACCGGGCUGCUGAGGGACACCGAGCGAGAUGCACCCACAACAGCUUGGAGGAAACUGGGUGGCUUUUUUAUAGACUUUAAAAUGAAAUAGAAGUAAAAACUCCUUCUGACAGAGGUAAAGCUGGAAACAAUUCCAAGCUUUUCCUGAGCAGAAAGGCUGCUCCUGACUGUUACUCCCAGAAACGAGCACUGUCAUCCGCUGAACACUUCAACCACACUAAAGGAGACACCUGGACUCAGAAGAUAGAAACUCUGCUCAGUUUUCUCAAGUUGGAUAUUCUGGUAUUUCUGGUGCAUCCUGCAUAUGUAGAAGCAGCAAAAUUUGUCUUGGGGAACAGAGGCAUCAGCUCAGAGAGGGGACAGAUGGUGAACGUUACGGAGACCAAACUACGGCUCAAUCUUCCCAGAGAGAGCAGGUCCUGCAAGAACAAGGGAAGAUAUCAGUCAAAUUGUCACAAAUAUGCCCCAAACUGUUGUGAAAGAGCAACAGAUUUCCUAAAUUAAUCUGUAAGGUCUGCUGAACUGCAGACUAUCAUAGAAAUACUUGUUCCUCAUGUACAGACCAGGAACCUGGAGUCAAGUAUUCCUCCUGUUGGACAAAUGCCUCUGGAAUUCCACAAAUUGCUUGGCACAUCUGACAGAGCAGGCAGAAGAAUGCCAGCCUUCGUUUCCUGUAGUCUGCCUGCAUGGAGCAUGGCUUUGGAGGCACUGCUCCCUCCUUCAGGUCAAGUAGUGGCAGGGGAGAAGAGGCAUCUACCUGAAUAUCUGAAAAAAUGAAACUAGAAGGAAAGAUUUGAAAACAAAUCUUGGCAUAAACUGGAAUCUUGGAAUAAGUGUUGGAAUAAGCUUAUUUUUGGACUUCAAAGCGUUUGUUGUAGAAGCAUUGCCUAGAUUUUUAUCAAGGGUUUGUCUUAGCUUGCAACUCAUCUAGCUUUCUUUUGCAUCUUGAAGGUGUCUUUACAAAAUAGUGGUAAAACAAAAGAAAAACCGAUGUGGAAGAGUUUAAUGGAUCUUGAAAGAAAAUAAAGUUGUGGCCUUCAGUUGUUCAAGAGUCUACUGGAGAAUCCUGUCCUUUCACAUGGGAAUUUUGCCAGCGGCAUUAACUGGGACAAGAUUAUUGACUGUCUGAGGCAAAGCUUAGAAGGUCAUUGUUGUGUUUAACUGUUAAUUCUCUAGCAUUAUCCCAGUAACUUGUUGACGCUUCCAAGAGUUGCUUGAUGUCUAUAUAUAUACACACAGCCACACGUGUGCACUCGCCUGCCUUUGGGAAUUCCCUUGCCCUUGCUAACGUGAGUGCAAAGAUUCACUGGGCUUUUUAUUCGUAAAUAGAAAAUGUUUGGACUUAUGUACUGAUAAAGAGAGCUAUUACAAACACAAUGUGAAGCUGCCUUUGUGUCUAUGUUCAUCUAGAAGCUCAGCAGCUCACCCUUGCUUACCUCACCGACGGCCAUGGCUCAAGAUGCUGAAGAUGCAGAAACAGCAAAGGGAAAAAGUAACGUUGCUCAUUGCUAAUCCCCUGCUGGAGGGGUGGCUCACCCGUUUGGAGGGCUGUGCACACCCCGUGACAUCCCUCACUCGGCAGGAUCUCUGUGAUCUGAGAGUUGGUACCUGCCACCCGAUGUGUCUCCUGCUGCCAGACAGGUCUAUGAAGUAAUGGAGCCUGGCUGUCUGCAGUCAGCACUGCUGUGCUACAUCCAAAGCAAGCUUGCCAGUCAGCAAAUGCUGCAUUAAUCUUUCAGGGAGUGUUUGUUUUGCUUGUUUUGCUAGGCUGAGUUUCAAGCAACUGAUAAUGUGCUCAUGAGCAGUUCUCCUGUUGCAGCCCAUUUUUCAAAAGGAAGUGUGAAGGCCAAAGCUCCCAAGGUUGGGUAGAACAUGGGUUGGGAGGGUUAUAUAUGGUCUUGCUUCACUGUGUGAGCUCACAGUGCUUUUGAGUGCAUGUUAAUACACCUACAGGUACAUUUGGGAGAGUGGAGUUGUGGCUCUUUGAAGUCUGAUGAGUGUUUUAAAAAUACACCUUGGACUUUGUUCCUCUCUGUUAGUGCUAAUUCUGCUUGUGGAGUUAUCUCACUGCAAAUGAGAUGUACUUUUGUUUGCUGAGCAAUAGCCAAAGCUUCUGCCUGCUGAAGUAGAAACUCUGAAGGCUUCUGAGGGUUAGAUAAGACAAACAUUUUACAGGUCACAGGGUUUUAAGUGUUGAAAUGCCUGGAAUUUCAGGAGGAAAAUGACAGUGAGCCUGGUUUGUUCCCACUUUUCCCUGCUGUGUUGCUGCUCUGUCCAGCUGCAGCACUGAAGUCACAGCUCUCACUUAAAGGCCCAUCCCUCCAAGUCUUUUUGCAUUUAGCUCCUCUAAGCAAAAAGGAAUUUAGACAUACAAAUAAAUUUCAGAAUGUGGAAAACUCAAGUCUGGAGACUCUUGUAUGUGCAGAACCUUUUCUGGACUUUUUUUGGUGUUUUUUAUUUUAAGAUACUCCAUGCUCUUUGAUGACUUGAAAAAUAAAAAUCUUGCAACAUUUUCACAAGUGAAGAGAAUUUUAGCUCCCAGAGUGAGAACAGAAGGAUGCACUGUGAUCUUGAGGUCUUUUAGCCUGCUUACGUAGUCUGAAAAAAUGUGGCUGGGCAGUGAGUCUGUUGCAAAAUGACAAUUUUAAUGGUGCUGGGAUAAGACAAAUCCUGUGGAUAUUUCACGUGCACAUACUUUUCCUACAAACUUUUCUGAGAGUUAAUGUUUUACAUAAAAUCUAUUCUGCAAAGAGUACUCCAAAGGUAGUGCUACACACAACAGUACUUUUAAAAGUGUAUUUAUAUAUAUAUAUAUACAUAUACAUAAAUAUAUAUAUAUACCCUCUGCUUAAAUUUUAAGUGGGAAUAUACUUCAAGAAGGUUUUGAGUGGAGAAAAAAGGGUAAUAAUUAGGUGCUUUUCUCUUUUCUGUCUUUUAGUUUGUGAAAAUUUUCCUCACUUUUACUGUUACCCUAAUCUCGCAUCUUUUCCUGCUCACAAUAAGGGGGAUUAUAAGGCAGAAAUGAAGAAAAAGAAAAAAAAAGAAAAAAAAAGAAAAAUAAAAAAAGAAGUGUGUUCUUAAAUACAACAGUUGGAGAGCUGUUUGUACACAUUUCCAUGUUUCUUUCUGGUUUUGGAUUAAGUUUCUACUCCAAAGUUCCAAUUUCCUGGUUAACAUAUUGUUCUGGAAGGACCCCGGGCUCAUGCAGACCUGGCACACGGCAGGCAGGCUGGCUCAGUGGGGAAAGCUGUUGCUUUUCCUUGCCUGCUGCAGACACAAGCACUGUGAGAAUUCCCUUGGUACAGGAAAGUGUUGUGCUAUUACACUCAACAUUUAUUGGAUACUUCCUCCAGGCUCAAAUAAACAUUAUAAAACCUCCCUUCCCCAAAUGAAUCGCUUAAAGUGGAUACAAGAGAGGAUGUGGCAUCUUGGAUUUUGCUGUGUGGCUCUUUGUGAACAGCAGUGCAAAUGCUUAUUAUCAGCCUUCAGUUUUUAUAUGCAUGGGUGUGAUAGGGCUGGGCUGUGGAGUAGUGCCCUGCUGUGUAGGAUACACAGGACAAGAGGGAAUGGCCUCCAGUUGUGCCAGGGGAGAGUUUAGAUUGGAUAUUAGCAAACAUUUCUUCACUAAAAAAGUGUUUAAACAUUGGAAAAGUCUCCCAGGGAAGUAGUGGGGUCACCAUCCCAAGAGUGGAAGUGCUCAAAAAGCGAGAGACAAUUCACAGCAAUCCAUGGUAUGGUUUAGUUGACAAGGUGGUACUUGGCUGACAGCUGGACUUGAUGGCCUUGGAGUCUUUUCCAGCCUUGGUGAUUCUGUGAUUCCCUGAUCCUCUACAGACUGCUGCCCAUGGUUACCUGAAUGCUGUCCAGCUCCUGCUGGGGGAAGGUCCCCAGCACGGAUGGAUCAUAGUGUGAGGUGCUGUGUCGGAUCUGGGCUCAACUAUGGGAUGCAAUGCAACACCUAUAGAAUAUAGGCACAUUUUAUCUUGUUAAACCUACCCCAAUCUUCUGCCUAGUCAAGGUUAGACUUUUUUGCAUGUGUCUCAGAAAAAUUAAUAGAAAUUCUUCUAAAAGAAACAUAAGAUUUUCACAUCUUUUGGAACUUCUGCAGUGAGAGCCUGCAGAGUUCAGGCUUGUUACUAAGAACAGCCCAAUGUAUAUUUGAGGGUGAAAAAAUAAUCAUGUCACUUCUUUGGAACGUGAUCUAAAGUUCACUGAAGUGAAUGAAAAGGCUCCUGUUGGUUUUAAGUGGCUCCAGCCUUUACACGGGGAACAGAAGACGUGUGUCUCAUCUGCUUAAAUUUGAAAAUGUUAUUGGUAAUUUGUGUUGAUAGAAAGAGCACAUGGUAACUUUCUUUCUGCAUUUAUAUAACAGGAGGCAAAAGCCUCGAGUUUGAAAACAUUGAGGAUGCAGUUGCCUAUUUCCAGCACGAUGAGAGAGACACAGCCAAGGAUUGGGCUGUUUUAAGAAUAUUUGAUGGAAGGCAAAGCAUUAGGCACUGGUUUCCCCACAGGCAAUGGUUUCCUAUUGUCAUCCCACCAACAGAUGACAACCUGAUGAGCAAUGUCACCUUUAAGCUUGCAAAAGGGAAGAUAGUUCUUCCUGAAACAACUGAUGUUUUAUUUGUGGGUUUAAUUCAAGUGAUUAUUAUAUUCUCACUGAAACAACCAAGUCAACAAGUGCUGGAGGUUAUCAAGGAAUCCACUGCAGAUGGGCCAAGUAGGUGCUGCAGCCUGGGGAGGUUCCCUGGUACUGCUCUGUGAUGGAGUGAGUAGUGCUGGGCUCAUGGCUGGACUUGAUCUUCAAGACCUUUUCCAGCUGCAAUGCUCCUGUGAUUCAAUGACAAAUGUUUGGGAGUGCAGGACUGAGCUGUCCACACAGCUGAAAAUGCCUAACUGAUGUUGGUCCCCCUGUGUGAUGGAUGGGGUUAUCUGGGGCUUGAAUUAAUACAGGAGUAAAAGGAGAAAAGAAAAACAGCAGGCGAGUGCCUAAAAGGAUCUGUGCUGUAUUUUAAAGAUAUCCCUGUGUCAAUCUGCUUGCAAAGCAAUCUCUUCUACAGCCUUGUCUACCAUCAUUUUGAAGAAGAGGUCUUUUCAUGACUCACUUAAAUUCAUUUUAUCUGACAGUCAAGAACUGCCUAAUCUUUGAUGCUCAUGUAAUUAUGGCUUUUUUUUUAUAUAAUGACAUAGCACUCAAAAUAUUUGAAAGCCAUGCAGAGAAAUAUUGCAUAAUAGGAAAUUGUGCAGGAAUGAGAACGUUGGAGCUAUUCAUCUGUAAUAACAAAAUGCUUCUGUUUUACACAAAUGACUUGAUUAAAAUAAAGACUUGCUCUGGAUUUUCAUCAGUAUUAAAAGAGGUGAAAGCAAAAGCAAAAAGACCAAUUGAAUUUUUAUUUUUCUUCUUUUUUUUUUUUUUUUUUUUUUAGGUAUGCUGUUUCAAUUCAUUCCUUGCAACACUUUAACAAAUAUAGAAAAUGAACAGAAAUGUCAGGACACUGGAAAAAAACAAUGCUUGAAAGAGAAUUUUUAUGAACUGAUGAGCUGAGAGCUGAGCUGGUACCAGUAGAGUGGGAUCAGUUUGGAUUUCCACAUUUUUCAGCCAUCUUUUAGACUGUUCCCUUGUGUUACAUGAGCCAAAGCGAGCCUGGAACUACAUGCAACUCGUUGUCAAAGAAACUUGCACCAUCACAAGGCGUCAGCUCUGCUCUCCAGAGACCAAAUCUCCAGACAAUCAACUCGUGUGUGCUGUUAAUGCUUUGUUUCUCUCACUUCUCCCAUGUAUAUGAAACUGUCAAGCUGAAUUACACUUUAUAAGGUGAUAGGGAAAAGAUCUAACAUUUCUUUUUCCCUUUUACAAAUUUUUACAGUGUGUGGAAGCUAAUGUUUGCAGCCUAAAAGCCAACCAAACAAAACAAAUCCUGUUGCUUCAAACCUGACAUCUUUCAGGUAAACAAGAAAAGCUUUUGACAUAAUUUGCAAGUAUUAUUACUAUAAUUUUUUUAAAGCUCUGCUUUCAUAGAAAGGUCCUGGGAGAGGCAUGAGAACAAAAUAUGCUUAUUGGAAUCUAAAUUUUUAAGUUAAAAUACAACAAAUAAGCACAAAAGUAGAAAAAAGGCAGAAGCCUAGCAUCACCUUCUCAAUCCUAUUUCUGACUGUUGAAGACAGUGCAGCCUCACCGCAUAGAACAAUAUUCCAAAUCAGUGCACAGAUUGGAGAAUUCCUCCAUGAUUCUUGCAAAAAAAGGACCAAAAUCAGUGAAUUUCUUAGUGUUUCACUGAAAUCUGUCCAAUGAGGACUCCAGUGCUUUCCAGCAAUGUGAGUCACUGUCUUUUUUGAUAAUGGACAAGCCUUGUAUUUCAAAGACCGGCACAAGCUCCUGGGUUCCCCAUGGCAAACAGCAGGAAUGGUUCUCACUCCUGUUACUCUGCAGAGUAAGAUCUUGGCAGUUUCUGUGCCAAACCAGUCAAACCCCAUCUCUGAUUUCACCCAAUAAAAAAUGAAAAUGGAGAGCUGUGCCCACUGCUGGUGUUUCUGUUCCUUGCCAGCACUUUGACACAUCUGGCAGGAAAGUUCACUCAAUUAAGUGUUUUCUACCUCUCUAUCUUUUCAUGGCAUUGCUCGAAAUAUCCAGGUUUGGCAAUUCCUUUGCUGAAUAAUAGGCCCUGAAGAUUCUUCCACAUAUUUAUUGCCUGACAUAGUCCUAUAGUUUUUGAAUGUAUUUGUAUUAUACCAUUGUGUAAGCAAGCUCCUGCUAAAGUCAGAGCAUAAAGCUUAUUCAAGGUGCCUGCAUUCCUUGAAAGGAUCCAGGCAAGCAUUUUCUCCACAAAUCCAAAUUAUACAUCAAAUUUAUUCCAUCUGGGAUUUGUAUGUGUGCAUGUAUUCUUUGUUAAGUGUUCUAGCAAAUACUAAAAUACCAGCUAGGUUAAGGGGAUGAGCAAAAUUCCUGUCAGUGUUAAAUGAAUAUUUGUGGAGGGUGCAUUUUGAGUGUGCUGUGUAAAGUUUAUAAUGGUCAAGGCUAUAUUGUUCAGCUAACUGGUUAAACUCUGCCCUGAGACCAAUCUACCCAGAAUAGUGGGAAAGCAGAAAAGCAAGAGUUACUUGUAGUGAAGAAAAUACAACCAUAGGAAAGGAUUAUUUGAAAAAUUAAAACAAGCAGUUGAAGUCUGGGAGUCAUUCAAGAGGCUUCACUGUUUCCAACAGCAAAUUGUCUAUGAAGAGAACUAAAACAACCUAUUCUUUUGUUUUCCAAGCACCUUCAGUAACUUGUAAGAUUUGUGUCAGACUCCAAGUAGAAAUUUAUCACCAAUUAUAUUCGAAAGAAUAACAAUAAAAGCUUGGUGAAAGGAAAACAAUACUGAAGCUUUGUCAGUCAGCUCAGUAGUUUUAAUUUCUAUGUUUUUUUCGGAAGGAUAUUUUUAAAACUCUGAACCCAUUUUCUCUUCUGUAGAAAUACUGCAUCAUCUUGUUCUUGUUUUUCUCAAAAUCACAUUUUAGCUGUGUGCCUCUAGCUAUUAACCCUGUGGAUUUCUUUCAGAUAGAAGAUUGAUUCCAGAAAUCCACAAGCCUCAAAAGCCACCACAGUGGGGUAAUACCUCACUUAUCCCCUAUUUCUGAUGGCACAGAGGAAAGCAUCUCUGUCCUCGACUACUGAGAAGGCACAGCAGCUUCACUUCUAACUCAACAGUCUUAGAUAGACAGGUACCAUUGUUUUUCUUGUAUUUUUUGUCCGUCUCUCCUGUCAAGUGACAAGAUUGGUCUUAUUCCAACAGCACAGGCACACCUGCUGGGCACCAGAGAAGCCCUUCCAGGCCCAAACUGAGGGCAGGUGCACUGGUGGAAUGGUUGGUCCUAGUAUGGUCCCCCCUGGAUGCAAAGGAAAAGCCUGCUUCAUGCUCCCAUGAGGAUCUGAACGUUUUUAUAGUUAAUAAACCUCCUCUUUCCCAUUUCAUUGAUCUGCAUGGACUUGCCAAGGUGGAAGGAGUUUUGUUUGCGGGCUUUUAGAAUAAAUUAGUUUGAGUUCUGCCUGUAAAAUUCUCCAUAGCUGGUUACUACCCAGAGUUUCAAAAAUGGACCCUCUGCUUUGGGAUCUGGGGGGAAGUGAAGCUUGUAUCUUAUCCAUUACUGUGUAAUGGUGUCUGAAAAUUCAUAUUUUUCUUUUAAUGGUUUAAAAAGGAGCCUUGUAGUUUUGCAAGGACAAAUUCUAACAGGGCAAAGGGAAGUGGAGGGAGCAGAGUUCAGGGAAGACUGUGGCAUAAGCUUUGCUUUCUGUUACCUGCAAGCACAUUUAAACCAGCUGCUGUAUUAAAGAGGGGGUUUCUUUAACAUAUAAGAUAUAUGCACAAAAAUAUGAUAUAUUUAUUCUGAAAAUUUAACUGAGCAUUUACAAAUAGCACCCUCUGCUUUAGAUCCUUCUCAAAGGCAGGAACGACCAGAACAUUUCUCUUGCCAUUUCAGCAGGUGACAGCCCAGUGCUAAGGGUCCAGCACAGCCAUUCCUCCUCAGACGGGUGAGCAAUUCCCAAGGUUUGACAUCCUGCCCCACCAGAAGCUUUGGCCAUGGGACACACCCUUAGCUCUGUGCUGUCUGCACACCCUGAUGUGCAUGCCAGUCAUGAAGCCACUUCUCUUGCCCACCUCCACCUGGUAGAAUAAACUGUGGGACCAGGUCCCCAUGAGAGGUGUUAACAGAACAUCAGUGAAACCAGUGGGACUGGUGGUGCUAAAUCCAGAGCCCAGGGCAAUGCUUCAAGUGAGAGAAGCCAACAUGAUCAAUUGAGAUAGUGGGCAAUGCUGGACCUCAGCUCUUCCCUUGCUCCCCUCCCCUCAUAUUUAUAGGUUUCUAAUUUCCGCUGGAUAAUGAAUAUCACUUUUCAUUAUAAUUAUGUUAAAAGGUACCAGCGUGAUGAUUCAGAAACCCUUGAAGAUAUAGUCAUAUUUUCAGCAACAGAUGGAUUUAACACUGCAGAUGGAGUGUUAAGAGUGCAGGUAAUAACAAACUCAGCAAUGUACUGUACUGAAAUAUAAUUGGAAAGUAUUAAUCAUAUAUUGGUUACUUCAGCUUCACUAAGUAGAUGUUUAAUUUUCAUCAAUCUUUUUACCAGAUUCCCGGAAAGAUUUCUGUGCAGACAGAGUGUGGCUUUAGGUGAAGUGAUUGCCCAAAUUAUUAAUGACUGAAGCCUUGAUCUUGCAGGCAUGUGCCCAUGGCUUACCCAGGCAUGCAGAAUAAAAAUCAUUUGUGUUAAUAAGGCUGUCAGAGGGGCCCCCAUUCAUAUGGCCCAAGUUUCAGCUGGUGACCAGGCAGUGGUGAAGCCCAGACCCUUCCCUUCACGGGGGCUGUUGGAAAUCUGCCAGCAGGAAUGGCUGGAUUUGUGGCAGAACACAGCAAUUUUAAAAACUCUGCUUAUAGAAGUGAACCAUCAGUCUAAGCCUUUGCAGGACUGGGAGUUAGAAUGUAGACAAAAUGGAGGGGGGGGGUGCCAUUCCUCAUUAUUUUAAGUACAGACUAUAUGGAAUUAUCUGCAUGCAGAGAAAUGUCUGCUGUUAUUCCCAUAAACCCUGUCAGUUUGCUGGGAUUUUUUUAAUGCACUUCUUCAGUGAGGUUGUAUUUGAAGCCUGGAUUAUUCAGGGGAGUUUUUGCUCUGAGCAGACCUUGCAGGACCAGAGUAAUCAGUGAUGCCUGGUUGCAUGCCAUGACUCUGAUUCUUUAAUUAAUGCUAUUUAUAACUAGGAUAUUAUUUGUAGGAUCACAAAGUGGUUCCUGCUCCAGUGUGCCACCUGGGGACUCAGGGAAUGGGGAGUGUGGUAGGGCACAAUUCCAGCUCAUGCAAAAAUCUAUUUUAUACCAGGAAUAUAAAAGAGAGUUUUGCUGACAACAGAAAUAUUAUUCUUUUAAAUAUGCUUUUUUUUGUGGAUGGUUUAUGUUCACAUUCUUUGUAUGGGUUCAGGCAUUUGGUGAGGCUGUAACUCCCCUGAUUCCCUUAUGAGGUUUUCUUUCCCUGGUGGGAGUACACAGCCAUGGUGUUCCAUGAUGACCAUGGACUGACCAGAUGGACUGUUGUAAACAACAACAUAAGCAUUCAACACCUAAGUUUUAAGUCCCACAAAAUACUUUGCUCAAAUGUUGUAGUCUUUUGCUGAAUUAUUUAGUUUUUUAACUAUCCAUGAACCCUGAAAAUGUAAUGAAAAACUGGAAUUCUAUCUGGAAAAUCGACUCUCACUUGACAAUACAGUAUCUUCAUCUUGGCUGAUAAGGAAAAAAAAGAUCGAGUAAUAAAAUUCAACAUGACUGGAAACAAAAUUGAGCAUGACUAGAAACCACAGGUGAGCAUGUUUAAUGAUGUGAAAUGAGUGUGCUGUCUACUUCCUGACAGGCUUUUGUACUCCACAGAGAUACAAACAGGUACUGAUCGAUUGACCAUGGUAAUCAAAUAAAGCUGUGAGUAUAAAUGGCUCUAAAUAUGGUAUCUCCUUAGGGCUACCAGUCGAGAUGAGUGGUUUGUAACUCAGGUCCCACACUGCUCUUGUGGGGAGGGGGGAGCUUGUUGCUAGACUGUAAAGAUGAGUAAUAUUUCUGUUUAAUGUUCAUUUCACCUUGAAAUAAACUCUUGUCUUGCCUUGCCUUGCCUU